Weissella oryzae SG25 is the source of this 128-nucleotide regulatory RNA element. It matches the Rfam family "Ribosomal protein L10 leader". Rfam says of the family: This family is a putative r-protein leader autoregulatory structure found in B. subtilis and other low-GC Gram-positive bacteria. It is located in the 5' untranslated regions of mRNAs encoding ribosomal proteins L10 and L12 (rplJ-rplL). A Rho-independent transcription terminator structure that is probably involved in regulation is included at the 3' end. The record is from Rfam. Lineage: Bacteria; Bacillati; Bacillota; Bacilli; Lactobacillales; Lactobacillaceae.
AGUAAUAUCUCGAUUCUACCUAAGACGCAGGUGGCUUUGCCUUAAUACCCCGCCGAGGAAGUUCAAACACUGAAAAGUGGCUUUUGAUCCCCGGUGCAGUUAUGUACUGGGGGUCUUUAGGUUUGAAU